This 503-nucleotide ribosomal RNA is filed under the name uncultured bacterium. RNAcentral describes it as "partial 16S ribosomal RNA". It matches the Rfam family "Bacterial small subunit ribosomal RNA", at positions 30 to 523 of the family's 1533-position model. The record is from RNAcentral.
AUUGAACGCUGGCGGCAGGCUUAACACAUGCAAGUCGAGCGGGGUGAUGGUGCUUGCACUAUCACUUAGCGGCGGACGGGUGAGUAAUGCUUAGGAAUCUGCCUAUUAGUGGGGGACAACAUCUCGAAAGGGAUGCUAAUACCGCAUACGUCCUACGGGAGAAAGCAGGGGACCACUUGUGACCUUGCGCUAAUAGAUGAGCCUAAGUCGGACUAGCUAGUUGGUGGGGUAAAGGCCUACCAAGGCGACGAUCUGUAGCGGGUCUGAGAGGAUGAUCCGCCACACUGGGACUGAGACACGGCCCAGACUCCUACGGGAGGCAGCAGUGGGGAAUAUUGGACAAUGAGGGGAACCCUGAUCCAGCCAUGCCGCGUGUGUGAAGAAGGCCAUAUGGUUGUAAAGCACUUUAAGCGAGGAGGAGGCUCUUUUGGUUAAUACCCAAGAUGAGUGGACGUUACUCGCAGAAUAAGCACCGGCUAACUCUGUGCCAGCAGCCGCGGUAA